RNAcentral lists this transfer RNA (87 nucleotides) under Candidatus Thioglobus sp. Its description in RNAcentral is "tRNA-Leu". It matches the Rfam family "tRNA". Rfam says of the family: Transfer RNA (tRNA) molecules are approximately 80 nucleotides in length. Their secondary structure includes four short double-helical elements and three loops (D, anti-codon, and T loops). Lineage: Bacteria; Pseudomonadati; Pseudomonadota; Gammaproteobacteria; Pseudothioglobaceae (SeqCode). The record is from RNAcentral. RNAcentral also lists the same sequence under 2 other names.
GCCAGUGUGGUGGAAUUGGUAGACACGCCGGAUUCAAAAUCCGGUUCCUUCGCGGGAGUGACGGUUCGAGCCCGUCCACUGGUACCA